This is a long non-coding RNA of Mauremys reevesii (Reeves's turtle), 838 nucleotides long. RefSeq lists it as uncharacterized. The transcript is spliced from 4 exons. The record is from RefSeq and is a predicted model, not a curated record. Lineage: Eukaryota; Metazoa; Chordata; Testudines; Geoemydidae.
GUUGUAAAUCAGGAGGAGUUAUGGAGGAUAGUAUAAGAGCCAAGAGACAGAUUUGUAAAGAUACUUAGGUGCCUACUGGGAUUUUCAAAAAUACUUUGGUGCCUAACACCAUUGAUUUAUUUUUAAAAUGGCCACCCAUAGCCUGCCUGUCUGACUGCAAACGCUGAUAGGUUUGGAGAUGGGAAAGCUCCGAGACAGAAAUUAAGAGACUUUUAUAGAUAGCAGAAGGUUUUGCAGGUCUUGAUCAUCCAAAGACAGAUGAUUAUCUUUACACAUCUAAGUCUGUGAGAUCAAGUCCACCUUAUGGCAGUGAAGGAAAAAAACCCCACAUACUUGAUAUCAAUGUUAUUGCAUAAAUUGGAUGGCAGGAACUCAGUAUUCAGACUGGAAGACAAAAAAAAGCUUUUCAUCUUUGCAGUGCACUCAGACCUUCUGAGUUUGUUAGAGCAAGUUUGCAUUUGAACUUGGACCUCUUUCAUGGCAGCAUAUUGCUUUUUAAUUUACAUCUCUCUUACGUUGCCUGAUGUUCUUUGGUUCCCGAUGCUCUGUUUGCUCCUGAGCUCCUGUAUGUUUCUGUAUUUCCCUCUGAAGUAACAGAAGACCUACAGCAAGGAGUGAUUGCUGACUCUGCUGUGAUGAAAGCAUCUGCCUCAGAUAACUGCCAGCCACUAGAGCGGGCACUACGUUGAACCCAUGUUGCCAGAUCAGUGCAAGGAGGCAUGUUCUUUCUCUCUGCAAAUAAACUGAGUUGGGUGGUCUUGGAAGAAGUGUGUUUUGAAAUAGGAGACCAAAGGCUCUGUGCCCAGGCUGUUCAAGGAGUUAAAUGAAGUGGUGUCUG